AUUGAACGCUGGCGGCAGGCCUACCACAUGCAAGUCGAGCGGUAGAGAGAAGCUUGCUUCUCUUGAGAGCGGCGGACGGGUGAGUAAUGCCUAGGAAUCUGCCUGGUAGUGGGGGAUAACGUUCGGAAACGGACGCUAAUACCGCAUACGUCCUACGGGAGAAAGCAGGGGACCUUCGGGCCUUGCGCUAUCAGAUGAGCCUAGGUCGGAUUAGCUAGAUGGUGGGGUAAUGGCUCACCAAGGCGACGAUCCGUAACUGGUCUGAGAGGAUGAUCAGUCACACUGGAACUGAGACACGGUCCAGACUCCUACGGAAGGCAGCAGUGGGGAAUAUUGGACAAUGGGCGAAAGCCUGAUCCAGCCAUGCCGCGUGUUUGAAGAAGGUCUUCGGAUUGUAAAGCACUUUAAGUUGGGAGGAAGGGCAGUAAAUUAAUACUUUGCUGUUUUGACGUUACCGACAGAAUAAGCACCGGCUAACUCUGUGCCAGCCGCCGCAGUAA
RNAcentral lists this ribosomal RNA (500 nucleotides) under uncultured bacterium. Its description in RNAcentral is "partial 16S ribosomal RNA". It matches the Rfam family "Bacterial small subunit ribosomal RNA", at positions 30 to 523 of the family's 1533-position model. The record is from RNAcentral.